AGGAAAGCAUGUUCGGCGACAGCGAACACAAUGAAACAACAACUGCGCCGAUGUUAUUUUAUGACAACCAACCGGUUCCCGAAUCCACUCCUAUCGCGGAGCCCUUGUCGUAUUCUGGAGACUUUUUCUUGGCCUUCCAAGCCGGCUACACUCCAGUCCACGGCUACCUGGCUACGUUGCGCAGAUUAGCACAGCGAUGCUACACAGAUUGCCGAUAAUCCCGGUACCGGGAUUAUCGGCAAUCUCUUGAGCAUCGCUGUGCUCACGCGCCGAUCUCCGUUAACGCCGAUAGCGGUUCUCCUGACGUCCCUGCUCGCGACGCAUGCGCUGGUACUGAUGACCUAUAUUCCCUUUGUCCUCCAUCAUUACAUCUUGAGAACGUUCUUGCCCCUCUCCCAAUGGCGAAGUUUUCGCGGAUGGCGUUUAAAUUUUUAAGUAUGCACUUUACUAUCGUUUGCGAUUCAACGGCCGCCUGGCUGACCGUCGCCCUGGCGGUGUUCCGCUGUUGGACGGUGAUGUUACCCAGAACGGCGGCUAGGUUCUGCAAGAUGCCGCUGACGUGUAUCAUUAUCGUGGCGAUCGGGAUAUGUAACAUUAUUUUCUGGCCGCCGUCGUAUUAAAGUGUACAGAUCGAUAUAUUUAAGCAUGAUGCGCCGGAAUUCAUGGAUGCAACAAGGGGCAACGUGGCGCCGAUGUACCGUAUUGACGAAUCAGAUCUGUCGCGCAAAAAUCACAACAACCUACGGAUUAUUACGUUGUAUGCUUCAGUUGCGGCCAAACUGUUCCCAUGUUUCCUUCUGCUCCGCCUCAGGUAAAGUAAACUGAAAGGCUUUUUUAGCCGUUUUCCAUCUACAUUUACCGAGAUUUUUAAAAUAAAUCGAAUUAUUUUACCUACGUCAACUUGGUUGUUUACAUUUUUUAUGACAAUAUGCCGGUUUUUAUACUUUCAUCUGUGAGUACUUUUGUGAAACUGGCAAUAAUUUGACUACACUUCGAUUAUGUUAUGCAUUUUAAAAUUCACGCUUUUUAAUGCCUUUUGCUUACUGGUACUGUAUUUAUUUUUUAAAUUCGAUUCGUAUCAACAUAUAAUAUGAUAUUAGAUGCCGUAUGCAUAUUCCGUACAUGCGUGUGCUACCACUAAAUAAGUACUAGCGUUCCCUUGGUAAUCGCCCUGCUUCGACCCGAACGCGGAAAUCCGGUAACAUUCUCCGACGAUGUAAAUUUACCCUGCUACUCCACGGUACUGUACGCGGCGCCGUCAACCGCUUAGGAGACGCACCACCCGGAGAACAACGCCACCGAGAUGAAAAUCGUCCCAACCACACCCGUCGCUCCACCAGCGCUGCCGUCAACUGGCCAGGACCGUCGCAAGUCAACGGGACGAGAUUGGAUGACGGCUGUGGUGCUGAUCAUCGCCGUAGUCUUCAUCCUUACCGACGGUACGGUGGGAUUACUGGCGCUGUUCACUUGUUUCUCCGUGGACUUCUUCGGCAAUGUCUACGUACCACUUGGCGAUCUGUUGGAUGCGCUGCAGUUAAUCAAAGGUGCCGUGCUUCUGAUCAUCUUGUUCUCCCUGGGCUGGGAGUUUCGGCGGACGUUUCCUCAGAUGCUGUGCACCAAAGACAUUAGUCAGCGGCGGAUGGAAUAGCGCAGGGCGGAUGUUGUAACCUGAAUUAAUAUAACUGCUUGUUCAGAAUCUCAUAAUACUCGUAUGUUCAGUUACUGUAUUACGUAAUUUGAGGCGGUUU
Molecule: long non-coding RNA, 1748 nt
Organism: Paramacrobiotus metropolitanus
Lineage: Eukaryota; Metazoa; Tardigrada; Eutardigrada; Parachela; Macrobiotidae
Exons: 3
Source: RefSeq, a predicted model, not a curated record